GAUGAACGCUGGCGGCGUGCUUAAUACAUGCAAGUCGAGCGAACAGACGAUUCGCUUGCCUCUCUUGUGUUAGGGGCGGAUGGGAGAGUAAUGCGUGGAUAUCCUCUCUAUAAGACUGGCAUAACUCUGGGAAUCCGGAGCUAAUAUCGGACAAUAUUUUGAACCGCAUGGUUCAAAAGUGAAAGACGGUCUUGCUGUCACCUAUCGAUGGAUCUGCGCUGCAUUAGCUAGUUGGUAAGGUAACGGCCUACCAAGCCAACGAUGCAUAGCCGACCUGAGAGAGUGGUCGGCCACCCGGGAGCGGAGCCACGGACCAGGGUCCUGCGAGAGGCAGCAGAAGGGAAUCUUCCGCAGUGGUCGGGAACCUUGCGGAGCAGCGGCACGUGAGUUGUGAAGGUGUCGGGUUCGUGAAGCUGGGUUAUUAGGGAAGAACCUCUGUGUGAGUAGCUGUGGAGUGAUUGACGGUACCUGAUCAAGAAGCACCGGCUAACUACGUG
Molecule: ribosomal RNA, 497 nt
Filed under: uncultured bacterium
Lineage: Bacteria
Description: partial 16S ribosomal RNA
Rfam family: Bacterial small subunit ribosomal RNA
Source: RNAcentral